UCCUAUCUGUGCCUCAAAAGCAAUGGUCUGGGGUGCAGGCUUCAAACCUGUAGCUGUUUAGUGACAGAGUGGUUCAAUUCAACCUUUUGGGAG
Molecule: non-coding RNA, 93 nt
Organism: Myodes glareolus (Bank vole)
Lineage: Eukaryota; Metazoa; Chordata; Mammalia; Rodentia; Cricetidae
Source: the annotation of a RefSeq genome assembly